AUGGCGCCAAGCAGCACCAACCGCGGCCGCCGCCGCGUGCUCCUCCUACCGCUGCCCUACCAAGGCCACAUCAACCCCAUGCUGCGCCUCGCCGCCGCGCUGCACUCCCGCGGCCUCGCGGUCACCAUCCUCCACCCGGAGACCCGCGCGCCGGACCGCCGGAAGCUCCCGGCAGACUACCGCCUGGUCACCAUCCCAGACGGCAUAUCUCCGGAGCUCGCCGCGUCCGAGGACAUCGCGUCGUUCGUCUUCGCGCUGAACAAGAACUGCGCGGCGCCGUUCGGGGACUACCUGGCCGGCGCCCUUAGAAAGGAGGAGGAGGACGGCCGCGUCGCCUUCGUGGUCGCCGACGUGGACUGGUUCGCGCCGCUCUCCGUGGCCAGGGAGCUGGGCGUGGCCGCUCUGGCCCUCAUGACCAGCAGCGCCGCCAGGUUCCUGGUGUACCUGGCGUACCCAAGCCUAUCCCACAAGGGCUAUUUGCCCGUCCAAGAGUCGAAUUUCAACACCACAGUUGAGGAGCUUCCCCCCUUCGUUGUACGAGACUUGGAUUGCGUGAUGGACAUGGCUCGACACCUCGCGUACGCUGAUCUCCUCGCCCACAUUGUCGCCGGCGUGCGGCAAUCCUCCGGCCUAAUAAUCAACACGUCUGAAGACAUCGAGGGCAUGGAGAUCGAGAGAAUCCGCAGCGAGAUCACCCUCCCGGUGUUCGCCGUCGGCCCUCUGCACAUGAUGACGUCGUCUUCAUCCGUUCAGAGCAGCCUACUGACAGAAGAUCGCAGCUGUUUGGACUGGCUGGAUACACAACGGCCAAACUCUGUGCUCUACGUGAGCUUUGGGAGCCUGGUGGGCAUCGACACAGAUGAGUUCUUGGAGAUGGCCUGGGGCCUGGCCGACAGCCAGCGCCCGUUCCUGUGGGUGGUCCGGCCGGGGCUGGUGCACGGCUGCGAGUUCAGCGCGCUCCCCGAAGAGCUGCAAGAGAAGAUAGGUAGCAGAGGCAGGAUAGUCAGUUGGGCUCCGCAGCAGGAGGUGCUGAAGCAUCCGUCUGUGGUCGCGUUUCUCGCGCACUGCGGCUGGAACUCGACGACGGAGAGCAUAUCGGAAGGCGUGCCGAUGAUAUGCAGACCGUUGGCCAGCGAUCAGAUGGGCACUAGCAGGUAUGUGUGUGAUGUGUGGAAGGUGGGGGUUAGGGUGGAGGUGGAGAACCAGCUGAAGAGAGGGGACGUCCAGGCGGCCAUCACAAGACUGAUGGAAGGAAAGAAAGGUGAAGAGGUCAGAGAAAGAAUGAAAGAUCUGAGGCAUGUGAUGAGAAAGCGUACUGAUGAAGGUGGGACAUCUGAUGUUGCUUUGCAACGUUUAGUGGAUUUCAGUGUUUAA
Molecule: ribosomal RNA, 1374 nt
Filed under: Triticum aestivum (bread wheat)
Lineage: Eukaryota; Viridiplantae; Streptophyta; Magnoliopsida; Poales; Poaceae
Description: partial small subunit ribosomal RNA
Source: RNAcentral